This 468-nucleotide ribosomal RNA is filed under the name uncultured bacterium. Its description in RNAcentral is "partial 16S ribosomal RNA". It matches the Rfam family "Bacterial small subunit ribosomal RNA", at positions 28 to 507 of the family's 1533-position model. The record is from RNAcentral.
GACGAACGCUGGCGGCGUGCUUAACACAUGCAAGUCGAACGGAAAGGCCCUGCUCUUGUGGGGUGCUCGAGUGGCGAACGGGUGAGUAACACGUGAGUAACCUGCCCUUGUCUUUGGGAUAACUUCAGGAAACUGGGGCUAAUACCGGAUAGGAGCUCCUGCUGCAUGGUGGGGGUUGGAAAGUUUCGGCGGUUGGGGAUGGACUCGCGGCUUAUCAGCUUGUUGGUGGGGUAGUGGCUUACCAAGGCUUUGACGGGUAGCCGGCCUGAGAGGGUGACCGGCCACAUUGGGACUGAGAUACGGCCCAGACUCCUACGGGAGGCAGCAGUGGGGAAUAUUGCACAAUGGGCGGAAGCCUGAUGCAGCAACGCCGCGUGCGGGAUGACGGCCUUCGGGUUGUAAACCGCUUUCGCCUGUGACGAAGCGUGAGUGACGGUGAUGGGUAAAGAAGCACCGGCUAACUACGUG